RNAcentral lists this transfer RNA (70 nucleotides) under Desmospora activa DSM 45169. It matches the Rfam family "tRNA". From Rfam's summary of the family: Transfer RNA (tRNA) molecules are approximately 80 nucleotides in length. Their secondary structure includes four short double-helical elements and three loops (D, anti-codon, and T loops). Further hydrogen bonds mediate the characteristic L-shaped molecular structure. tRNAs have two regions of fundamental functional importance: the anti-codon, which is responsible for specific mRNA codon recognition, and the 3' end, to which the tRNAs corresponding amino acid is attached (by aminoacyl-tRNA synthetases). tRNAs cope with the degeneracy of the genetic code in two manners: having more than one tRNA (with a specific anti-codon) for a particular amino acid; and 'wobble' base-pairing, i.e. permitting non-standard base-pairing at the 3rd anti-codon position. The record is from Rfam by way of RNAcentral. Lineage: Bacteria; Bacillati; Bacillota; Bacilli; Caryophanales; Thermoactinomycetaceae.
UACAUAGUAGCUUAAACAAAGCGCCUGUUUGGCAAGCAGCGAGAUGAAGGUUUUAAUCCUUCCUGUGUAC